This 449-nucleotide ribosomal RNA is filed under the name uncultured bacterium. RNAcentral's name for it is "partial 16S ribosomal RNA". It matches the Rfam family "Bacterial small subunit ribosomal RNA", at positions 29 to 523 of the family's 1533-position model. The record is from RNAcentral.
AACGAACGCUGGCGGCAUGCCUAACACAUGCAAGUCGAACGAGAUCUUCGGGUCUAGUGGCGCACGGGUGCGUAACGCGUGGGAAUCUGCCCUUUGGUUCGGAAUAACAGUUGGAAACGACUGCUAAUACCGGAUGAUGACGAAAGUCCAAAGAUUUAUCGCCAGAGGAUGAGCCCGCGUAGGAUUAGCUAGUUGGUGUGGUAAAGGCGCACCAAGGCGACGAUCCUUAGCUGGUCUGAGAGGAUGAUCAGCCACACUGGGACUGAGGCACGGCCCAGACUCCUACGGGAGGCAGCAGUGGGGAGUAUUGGACAAUGGGCGAAAGCCUGAUCCAGCAAUGCCGCGUGAGUGAUGAAGGCCUUAGGGUUGUAAAGCUCUUUUACCCGGGAUGAUAAUGACAGUACCGGGAGAAUAAGCUCCGGCUAACUUCGUGCCAGCCGCCGCAGUAA